This 466-nucleotide ribosomal RNA is filed under the name uncultured bacterium. RNAcentral's name for it is "bacterial SSU rRNA". It matches the Rfam family "Bacterial small subunit ribosomal RNA", at positions 330 to 794 of the family's 1533-position model. The record is from RNAcentral.
CCCAGACUCCUACGGGAGGCAGCAGUGAGGAAUAUUGGUCAAUGGCCGAGAGGCUGAACCAGCCAAGUCGCGUGAGGGAAGACGGCCCUACGGGUUGUAAACCUCUUUUGUCGGGGGGCAAAGCGAACCACGUGUGGUUCAUUGAGAGUACCCGAAGAAAAAGCAUCGGCUAACUCCGUGCCAGCAGCCGCGGUAAUACGGAGGAUGCGAGCAUUAUCCGGAUUUAUUGGGUUUAAAGGGUGCGUAGGCGGGACGGUAAGUCAGCGGUAAAAAGGCGGAGCUCAACUCCGUCGAGCCGUUGAAACUGCCGUUCUUGAGUGAGCGAGAAGUAUGCGGAAUGCGUGGUGUAGCGGUGAAAUGCAUAGAUAUCACGCAGAACUCCGAUUGCGAAGGCAGCAUACCGGCGCUCAACUGACGCUGAAGCACGAAGGCGUGGGUAUCGAACAGGAUUAGAUACCCCUGUAUU